RNAcentral lists this unclassified non-coding RNA (6003 nucleotides) under Neodiprion pinetum (white pine sawfly). RNAcentral's name for it is "n-acetylgalactosaminyltransferase 7, transcript variant X1". The record is from RNAcentral. Lineage: Eukaryota; Metazoa; Arthropoda; Insecta; Hymenoptera; Diprionidae.
GUAGUAAGUGUACAGUUCAUCGCGUCGAUUUCGGCAGAAGCGACACGUCUGCUUUCAAGUUUCAGGUGUCCGUUUAUUAUGGAAGGUGGAAGUAUUGUUUGUUGAAAAGUAUAAAUACUAAUCGUAGUAUCCUACCGAUCAACCCAACAGUCUAAGAAUUAUCAAAAAUGCGGAUCGUUCAAUUGAAGAGAACCCGUUUUGUCAAUAUUUUGCUGGGUCUAAUGUUGUUUGUGAUAAUUGUAUAUGCACUUUUUGUGUUUUCAUCCGAUGACCAGCCUAGCAAUCUGAAAAACUACUGGGCUGCGGCAUCUAAAUCUCGACAGUUACCAGUGAUCAGUGAUGACUUAGGAAACUUUGAGCCACGAAAUGUAGUGGUGAGAAUAGGCCCUGGUGAGGAGGGUAAGGCUCACAUUUUGAGAGAAGAUCAACAAAAUGAUGUACAGCAAUCAGAGUCUGAUUAUGGCAUGAACAUGGUUUGUUCUGAUGAAAUUUCUUUGGAUAGAUCUGUUCACGACACCAGGCCAGCCGAGUGCAAGCGUUGGAAUUAUGCAACUGAUUUGCCAAAAACCAGCGUUAUUAUAGUAUUUCACAAUGAAGGAUGGUCCGUCUUAAUGCGUACCGUACACAGCGUGAUAAAUCGAACACCACCAGAGUUUUUGGAAGAGGUACUUUUGGUUGACGACUAUUCUGACAAAGACAAUUUGAAAGGCGAUCUGGAGUCGUACGUCGAACGAUGGGAUGGUAAAGUACGUCUCAUACGAAAUCAUGAGAGACAGGGCUUAAUAAGAACGAGAUCCAGGGGAGCCCGAGAGGCUACUGGUGAAGUGAUUGUGUUUUUAGAUGCCCAUUGCGAGGUCAACACUAAUUGGUUACCACCAUUACUUGCACCAAUAUAUGUGAACAGCAAGGUGAUGACUGUUCCGGUGAUCGAUGGAAUAGAUCACAAGACUUUCGAAUACAGGCCAGUCUAUCAGGAGGGUCAUUUGUAUCGAGGUAUCUUCGAGUGGGGAAUGUUGUACAAAGAAAACGAGUUGCCCAGGAGAGAGGCGAAAACACGCUCGCAUGAUAGCAUGCCCUAUAAGUCACCAACUCAUGCCGGGGGCCUAUUUGCUAUCAACCGUGAAUAUUUUCUAAGUCUGGGUGGUUACGACGAUGGCCUCUUGGUUUGGGGUGGUGAAAACUUCGAGCUUUCUUUCAAAAUAUGGCAAUGUGGAGGCAGCAUUGAAUGGGUGCCUUGUUCUCACGUCGGGCAUGUUUAUCGGGGCUUCAUGCCUUACACGUUUGGUAAACUGGCUCAAAAGAAGAAAGGCCCUCUGAUCACGAUUAAUUACAAACGGGUGAUUGAAACUUGGUUUGAUGAAAAGCACAAGGAGUUCUUCUAUACAAGAGAACCCUUAGCAAGAUUACUCGAUCAUGGAGAUAUCACAGAGCAGUUAGCUAUGAAAGAAAGGCUACAGUGUAAAGACUUUCAGUGGUUCAUGGAUAACGUGGCCUACGAUGUACUUGACAAAUAUCCAGAAUUGCCGCCAAAUGUUCAUUGGGGAGAGCUUCGCAGUGUUGCCACUGCCUCGUGUCUGGAUACCAUGGGUCACCCUCCACCUAACCUGAUGGGGACUUCUCACUGCCAUGGGUUUGGCAAUAAUCAGCUCAUAAGACUCAAUGCCAAAGGGCAAUUGGGUGUUGGAGAACGUUGCAUAGAAGCUGAUGGAGAGAGUGUAAAAUUGGCGUUUUGUAGGCUUGGGACUGUCGAUGGACCCUGGCAGUACGACGAGAAAACAAAAACUCUUAUGCACAGGGUGCAUAAAAAGUGUAUGGCAUUACAUCCCCAGACACAGCAUUUAUCUUUGAUGCCCUGUGACGUUAAUAAUACUUAUCAACAGUGGACCUUCCAUCAAAUGCAUCCACGCUGGUGAGGUUUAAAGGAGGAACAUUAAGUUUUUCAUCAGUUAUUACCGAAGCAAAUGCCAAGUAGAAAUAUUUGUCUGACAUAAAAUUGUUGAAUCUGCUCCAAUGAUAUAAAGCCAGUAGUUUGUUUCUCUCUUUUGUAAAUGCUCUAAAGGCCGCUCUCAAUCCAACAUUGUCGGCAAUAUUUUCGGAUAACGUGUACUUGCCGUCUAUCUAUUGAUGAGACAAUGACUUCUGUACCAAGUUAAGUUUAAUUUAAUUUAAAUAAUGAAAUGGUAAAAUCUUUACAGUUGCUUUAGAAUCUCCCGAAAUGUACUGGUUAUAUUGUUUGAUGAAGCAUUUUAUUUUUGUCGCGUAUACUUGUUCAGUUGACUGGGACCACCAGCCUUUCAAUGAGCCUUCAGCAUCCAAUAAUCGUCCUGAAUACAUGAACAAUCGAUUAACUUCUCGCGAAGGAUACCUUCCACUAUUGCCAGAGAAGAAUGGUUCUGCCAUUGUGCUGAUGGGAAAUACUGUUUUAACAAAGAAUAGACACCAAUGAAGGACAAAGUGGGAUCACGAAGAAACGUAAUUGUUGAAUUACGACAUGUAGUACGUACGUAUUCUAUUAUUUAUUCCGUUGUAAUAAGCGUUGACGAUUAGUGGUGAUUGCGUCCAUCUGGAAUGGUCGAUUAAUUAGGCUUAAAUACUGAGAUUAUUAAGUUUUUAUUACUCUUAUUUGUAAUGUGAUUUUAUUGAUCCUAUUAUACACACGAAUUUCUAUUUCGGUAGGUUCGUAACUCCGCGAAAUUUUUCCAUUGACUGAAACUUCGAAGUCUAUUCAUAUUUCCAAAAUGGUCGUACCUGUAAAUUUUCAGCUAAAACGAAUUUUCAUUAUUUGAUUUUUUUGAAACCAUGCAAUCGUCAUUCACGAUAGAUUUCUAACUUCUUGAUUCUAGAUCAUAUACCUUUCUGUAAUACUGAUCCACUUGUGAUUCAGUUUUUAAAUAAUCCGGGCUUCCAGUUAGUAUCAGUAUGCUAUUCAAUUUGUAGAUUGCAUAAUUUUUGGUAAAGUCGUCCAUCCAUUCUGCCUCAUCUAUCAAUUCUUCCAAAGCGUCUCUCAACUUUUCCAUCAUUUCCUGCGCCCUUUUGAUUCUUUCUUCGCUAACAUAUUUUUCUCGGUAUUUUUGUGCGACGGUGAAGCUCAGUCCGAUUUUCGGAAAAUCUAAAACCUUCAGCAUUCAACAGUUGACCAGAUGUUUGAAAUUUAAAAAAAUAUAAAUUCUUUAAAAUUAGUUCGGCACUGUUGAGUACCCCAUCAGUUCAAACAAACUAAAAUUGUACUAAGAAAUGAGACGCACAAUCGAUGGUCGAAUGCAGCGAAAAUAAAACAUUGAUUUAUCACGAAAUUAGACCUUGUGGAGACAAUACUUCCAUGUUGGAUAACCUGGAGGCACGUAUCCGCGAUUUAUGUAGAAAUCCAUUGAAAUAUUGUACAUUUCUGAUGACAAUUCAGGUGCCAUAAAAGUGACCAUCCGACUAUAGACGAAAUCAUCUGGAAAUUAUUCGUAAUUUCUUUUACUUCGAUAUUAAAAUUAUACCAGGAAUAUUCCUUUAUUGUUAUUCUAUUUUACUAUAGUAACUUCGAGGAAGAGAUUCGUGAUGCGACCUCGAGGCUGGUCGCAUAUUUUUAUUUCGUUGUACUUACUCAACAGCUCCUUUCCCGUUUCGUGCGCGUAUAUUAACAAGUUACGCAACAGACUUCGAUUCGUGAUAAAAAUCUGCGUGUCAUCGUUCACUUUGACCCUAGACUUUUUGAAGACGAUCUGUAGAUACGUUCUCCAAUUAAUCUGUAUGAUUGGGGAAAAAAAACACUACGAAUAAAAAAUUUAUGACAGUUUUGACAACUUAUCAAAGCUGGAUUAUCAUUGUGCUUGAUCACGAAGAUGGAAGAAAAAUAAUCGAAAAUAAACAAAUACAGAUUCUCAUCCGCUCACCGUGUCGGUAAAUUGAUCCAGUACUUCGUCUGUCCAAGCUUGUAAUUUUGCCAACGUCGUACUUCCUACGUUAGGAAUAUUAGUCUUCGCGGUAUCUCUGCCGUAAUUUAAUUCCUAAGACAAAACCCCAGGGAUAUUUUUAUUAUUCAAUAAUUCUGAUUGCUUUAAUCGAAGAGGAUCUGAUCAAUCAGAAAGAGGUAUUUUGAAUACGGUACCUUUGGAUCCGCCAAGACGUUCAUGAAUUCGUUGAUACUUCUCGCUUUCGCGCUGAUUUCAUAAUCGCUGAUGUCACUUUGAGUAAAAUCCCGCAAUAUGAUCAUAAUUUUUGACAAAUAUUCGAUAAAGGUAGAGUCGGUUCUACUGGAAAAAUCAUUGUCCAAAAUCCGUACUGGUUGUCGCAGCAAUGCAGUAGGCAAUGUCAAAUCAUCGUGCUCGAUCUAGAUGGGUAAUAUUUUUUCACUUGUGCCGCAACAAGGGGAACUUCGGUUAUUCUGAAGUAUUUCUCUUAUACGGUACGAAAUGCUUAUUGUUGUACAAAAUGCACUUGAAACUUGAAAUUUGAUUUAAAAAAGGCGACGCAGAAUUAUGCUCUAAUACAUACAUAUAUCGAAGUUUUCGUUGCAUUCCAUAUAUCAGUUCGAACUGUUAGUUUGAAAAAAAAUUGCACGCCAUAAUUAGCAACGAAUCUAGCCAUUCUUCGCCAAUCGGCCGAAGUUAUUUUAGACAUCGUACUCUCCUCAUUUUUUUUCGGCCAAAUUUCUUCCAAUACUUUUAACAUUGGUGAAAUUCCUCUCCUAUCACGAGUUUUUGUAUCUAUACAAGCUGCGUACAUGUCCUGGGCUUUUACAAAAGACUUUGAAUCUCCCACAGAUCUUUCGUUCUCCAAUAAUUCUGUGGAUAAAUAUGCAUAAAGUUUGAUUUUUUUUUAAUUCCAUAUGUCCAAAACCAUAAAUAAAUUAUUUUACGUUUAGCAUCUCCAAUUUUAAUUUGUCAUUCAAACAAAAAUGUACCUUUCAAUCGUUCAUCGACUUCUCUUUGCAAUCUGAUAAACCCGUCCCAAAUACUAUACCCCUCGGGGACAGGAUGUACAUUUUGAAAAUUUCCACAAGCAAAAGUGUAAAAAUCAUCACAGGGAUUCUUUGAAUAAUCCACGUAUGGAAAAAGAUUAUCCAUCCGUAUCAGAAAGGGCAAUUGAAUGAAAAUGGUCACGACGAUCAACCUUGAAACGCGUAAAGAAGACGAAUAAUGAUUAGUUUUUUUACAGACCAUGUUGAUAACGUUGGAAUAAUCACAGAAUCUGAUGAUGUUGCGUAGAAAGAAAUAGAAAAUCGAAUUAGGAUCUAUAAGUACCUCAUGGUGUGCAAAUUUGUGGCUGACAAUGAAUGUGUAUUAUUCGUAUUCCUGCACUGCUUUACUGAAGAGCACUAAAACAUUUUUUCCAGUGAAUCCCUUCCACAAACCCGCAAUUUGCGACCAAACAUCGUCAAUGUUAUGAAAAUACGCGGAAUGUAUCUAAAUGUGCAUUUUCUUAUCGCGCCCAAGUAUAACUGGAUUUACGAAUGAACAAUACAUAGAGCUCGAAACUGAUUUUCAUGUCACAUUCACACGACUCUAUAGAAGUGGUGGUCCAUAUCUAAUCGCUGAAAUUGUUACGUUUAAAGAACGGAAGCGACAGAGCGAUACGCGUCUACUCCCGCUGAUUCGUCUCGUACUGUUUAAAUGGAAUCGUAAUUAUGCUUCUUAAUAAUCUAACGUGUAUAAAAGUAAUAUGUAAAAAUUCUGGAGUAAUUACUACUGCCCAUUAUGAUAACAAAAUAAUUUUUCAAUUGAAUACAUUCUUUUGGUACCACAAAUAUUAGAAAUUUUUUGUUUUCUGCAUGCUACGACUUAGGUGGGAAUGAAACGGUAGAUGUAUGUAGUCCGAAAUAUUUUUAAAUUCAUUUUAUUAUAUAAUCUCAUAUGAAUACAAGAAGUGCAUAAGAGUGAAGCAUUUAACGUAGCUUUAGUUGGAAUAAGAGAAUCGACUCCAAGACGUAGAUCCUCAGUAAUAUGUCGAACGUCAACGUAUCGAUAUCGAUUAAUAAUGAAUUGUGUAAAGCGUUAUUCUCGGGAAAAGCCAAUG